This 505-nucleotide long non-coding RNA is filed under the name Zostera marina. Its description in RNAcentral is "long non-coding RNA (ZMAR_LNC002041)". The record is from RNAcentral. Lineage: Eukaryota; Viridiplantae; Streptophyta; Magnoliopsida; Alismatales; Zosteraceae.
CGACGGUGUACCGCUGCGGACCGCACCACAAUGUGGUGAGGGGACAGCAUGACGUUCGCGAUCUUCUUGCGGUGGGUACCACGAUGGGUUCGGGCUCUGCAAUCAUCGGAUGAUUGGACUGCGGUCGGUUUGUUGAAGAAGGCAUCAAGGCGAGGUGUGUUUUAUGUCCCCGGAAUCACUCGUCGGUGAGGAAAAGCGGCCCGAAGCUGGCGAAGCAUGCCAUUCACUGCAAGUCUUGGAAGAAGCAGAGUUGAAGCAAAAAAUUUGUAUAACUUCGAACAGAUAUGGAAGAAACAGAAUAUCACCGAACCCAUCUGGUCAAACUCACUAGUCUCUUAGCAAAGAACCCAUCGCGAACCUCAUGCUGAUCCCACCUUCUCCGGAGCAUUUGUAUAACAUCGCGAACCUCACGGUUGUUCCGAUACCAUCGAAUUCGAAAAAGGUAAAAAUUAUUAUAUAUAUUUAUUCGAAUUCGUUUAGUUUCGAAUAAUAUUUCGAAUACGAA